CACGUUAUACAAUAAACAAUCUGAUACGCAGUGGAUGCAAUUAUUUUUGGUUCAGAGACAUCAUAAUAAAAAAUAAUCAUUUGUCCUCACUUGUGGCAUCAUUAUGGGCAACAACAGAAUAUUAGUCAAUACAAUUUUAUAAUUCAAAUUGUUGUUAGAUGUGCCAUUGACAGUAGAAACAACUCUUCUCUUUUUAACCAACCAUGAUAAGGAGAGAUAAAUGAAGAUUAUAUGCAGUCCACAAGCCCUAUAU
Rhodamnia argentea is the source of this 253-nucleotide long non-coding RNA. RefSeq lists it as uncharacterized. Lineage: Eukaryota; Viridiplantae; Streptophyta; Magnoliopsida; Myrtales; Myrtaceae. The transcript has 2 exons. The record is from RefSeq and is a predicted model, not a curated record.